RNAcentral lists this ribosomal RNA (732 nucleotides) under uncultured soil bacterium. RNAcentral describes it as "bacterial SSU rRNA". It matches the Rfam family "Bacterial small subunit ribosomal RNA", at positions 31 to 767 of the family's 1533-position model. The record is from RNAcentral.
CAACGCUGGCGGCGUGCCUAACACAUGCAAGUCGAGCGAGAAAAGGGUAGCAAUAUCCUGAGUAAAGCGGCGCACGGGUGAGUAACACGUGGGUAAUCUGCCCUGGAGUGGGGAAUAACACCGGGAAACCGGUGCUAAUACCGCAUACGAUCACGAUGUCUGCGGACGUUGUGAUGAAAGGAGCAAUUCGCUCCAGGAGGAGCCCGCGGCUGAUUAGCUAGUUGGUGAGGUAAUGGCUCACCAAGGCUACGAUCAGUAUCCGGUCUGAGAGGACGGUCGGACACACUGGAACUGAGACACGGUCCAGACUCCUACGGGAGGCAGCAGUGGGGAAUUUUUGGCAAUGAGGGAAACCCUGACCAAGCAACGCCGCGUGGAUGAUGAAGUCUCUUGGGACGUAAAAUCCUUUCGACGGGGAAGAAAGCCGCAAGGCUUGACGGUACCCGUAGAAGAAGCCCCGGCUAACUCCGUGCCAGCAGCCGCGGUAAUACGGGGGGGGCAAGCGUUGUUCGGAAUUACUGGGCGUAAAGGGCGCGUAGGCGGUUUGCUAAGUUGGAUGUGAAAACUUUGGGCUUAACCCAGAGCCUGCAUCCAAAACUAGCAGACUAGAGUUCUGGAGGGGGUAGCGGAAUUCCUGGUGUAGCGGUGAAAUGCGUAGAUAUCAGGAGGAACACCGGUGGCGAAGGCGGCUACCUGGACAGAAACUGACGCUGAGGCGCGAAAGCUAGGGGA